GGUUUGCAAAGGAUUGACCUUAAUUUCUAACC
Non-coding RNA from Dokdonia donghaensis DSW-1, 32 nucleotides. The record is from Rfam. NCBI's taxonomy places the organism in Bacteria, Pseudomonadati, Bacteroidota, Flavobacteriia, Flavobacteriales, Flavobacteriaceae.